CUUUCUUGAACUCAAACCCUAAAACUAAAGAAGAGUUUAGAGAAUGAAGCACAUCCAUUCACUUGGACUCCAUACUUGGCUUCUUGCCAUAACUAUUUUCUUGAUACUUAACAAUGGUGAAAGUCUUCAUCAUCAACACUCCAUAUAUGGAGAAAAGUUUACUCACGGUGAUGACCAAGUUCACAAGCAUCCAAAGGAUGUAGAGUUAUUCCCGACCGGAUCAAACUUACCUGAUUGCUCACACGCGUGCGGACCAUGUUUUCCAUGCCAAAGGGUGAUGGUAGGCUUUAAGUGUCGGAUGACCGAGUCAUGUCCAGUCAUUUAUAGAUGUUUUUGUAAAGGUAGAUAUUAUCAUGUCCCAACAAGCUAGCAUAUUCACUCUCUUUGCAUGUGAUGUCGAAUUUGUUGUAUUAUUUAAAAUAUUUCCGCAGUUUCUAAGUCAAACUAUGAAAUGUGUCUGCUUUAACGACACUCUCUUUGUCGUUAAAGCAGUUGAAAAUAUAUAAAAUAUUUAAGUGUGACAUCUAGUUAAAAAGUUUUGGUUCUGCCACUAUUAGUCGUUUUCUCCCGUUAUUUCUUACUUUCUAUAUGGUUUAUAAAUUUAUAGUUAGUUCUACCUUUUAC
Molecule: long non-coding RNA, 624 nt
Organism: Helianthus annuus (common sunflower)
Lineage: Eukaryota; Viridiplantae; Streptophyta; Magnoliopsida; Asterales; Asteraceae
Exons: 3
Source: RefSeq, a predicted model, not a curated record